Molecule: ribosomal RNA, 218 nt
Filed under: uncultured bacterium
Lineage: Bacteria
Description: partial 16S ribosomal RNA
Rfam family: Bacterial small subunit ribosomal RNA
Source: RNAcentral
UACGUAGGGGGCAAGCGUUGUCCGGAUUUAUUGGGCGUAAAGAGCGUGUAGGCGGUUUGGUAGGUCCGCUGUGAAAACUCGAGGCUCAACCUCGAGACGCCGGUGGAAACCAUCAGGCUAGAGUCCGGAAGAGGAGAGUGGAAUUCCUGGUGUAGCGGUGAAAUGCGCAGAUAUCAGGAAGAACACCCGUGGCUAAGGCGGCUCUCUAGUAACGGUAC